UCGGGAAUUUUGGGCAAUGGGCGAAAGCCUGACCCAGCAACGCCGCGUGAAGGAUGAAGUAUUUCGGUAUGUAAACUUCGAAAGAAUAGGAAGAAUAAAUGACGGUACUAUUUAUAAGGUCCGGCUAACUACGUGCCAGCAGCCGCGGUAAUACGUAGGGACCAAGCGUUGUUCGGAUUUACUGGGCGUAAAGGGCGCGUAGGCGGCAUGACAGGUCACUUGUGAAAUCUCUGGGCUUAACCCAGAACGGCCAAGUGAUACUGUCGCGCUAGAGUGCAGAAGGGGCAAUCGGAAUUCUUGGUGUAGCGGUGAAAUGCGUAGAUAUCAAGAGGAACACCUGAGGUGAAGACGGGUUGCUGGGCUGACACUGACGCUGAGGCGCGAAAGCCAGGGGAGCAAACGGGAUUAGAUACCCCCGUAGUCCCUGAGCGGGCUGGCAAGGCGCAU
Molecule: ribosomal RNA, 447 nt
Filed under: uncultured bacterium
Lineage: Bacteria
Description: bacterial SSU rRNA
Rfam family: Bacterial small subunit ribosomal RNA
Source: RNAcentral